UACGGGGGGGGCAAGCGUUGUUCGGAAUUACUGGGCGUAAAGGGCUCGUAGGCGGCCAACUAAGUCAGACGUGAAAUCCCUCGGCUUAACCGGGGAACUGCGUCUGAUACUGGAUGGCUUGAGAUUGGGAGAGGGAUGCGGAAUUCCAGGUGUAGCGGUGAAAUGCGUAGAUAUCUGGAGGAACACCGGUGGCGAAGGCGGCAUCCUGGGCCGAGAUUGACGCUGAUGCGCGAAAGCCAGGGGAGCAAACGGG
This 253-nucleotide ribosomal RNA is filed under the name uncultured bacterium. Its description in RNAcentral is "partial 16S ribosomal RNA". It matches the Rfam family "Bacterial small subunit ribosomal RNA", at positions 524 to 776 of the family's 1533-position model. The record is from RNAcentral.